AGCUAGGUCGGGAGGUUAGUGGUCUCUUGUAAGCUCAAAUCCUCUAUACGGAGCGACCGAAGUAUUUGGAGAGGCAUAUUAAGUAAUUUUAAGCCUAUUUUUGUAAUGUAGAAGUUUCGUCCCCUGGGAUUAGUGGUGGUAGGAGUUUAACUGGAGGGUUAAAUUCAACUAUCUUAACUAAUUGAACGGGUCAGGUCUGGAAAGAAGCAGCUCUGUUUUAGACAGCUGAUGUUCAGGGAUCAGCGGGGUGGAGUUACGAAUUUAGAUAACUUAUCUUUAUA
Molecule: signal recognition particle RNA, 281 nt
Filed under: uncultured Methanosphaera sp.
Lineage: Archaea; Methanobacteriati; Methanobacteriota; Methanobacteria; Methanobacteriales; Methanobacteriaceae
Description: Archaeal signal recognition particle RNA
Rfam family: Archaeal signal recognition particle RNA
Source: RNAcentral